CCUACGGGAGGCAGCAGUAAGGAAUAUUGGUCAAUGGAGGCAACUCUGAACCAGCCAUGCCGCGUGCAGGAAGACUGCCCUAUGGGUUGUAAACUGCUUUUAUCCGGGAAUAAACCUACUUACGUGUAAGUAGCUGAAUGUACCGGAAGAAUAAGGAUCGGCUAACUCCGUGCCAGCAGCCGCGGUAAUACGGAGGAUCCAAGCGUUAUCCGGAUUUAUUGGGUUUAAAGGGCGCGUAGGCGGCCUGUUAAGUCAGGGGUGAAAGACGGUAGCUCAACUAUCGCAGUGCCCUUGAUACUGAUGGGCUUGAAUGGACUAGAGGUAGGCGGAAUGAGACAAGUAGCGGUGAAAUGCAUAGAUAUGUCUCAGAACACCGAUUGCGAAGGCAGCUUACUAUGGUCUUAUUGACGCUGAGGCACGAAAGCGUGGGGAUCAAACAGGAUUAGAUACCCUGGUAGUCCACGCCCUAAACGAUGAACACUCGCUGUUGGCGAUACACAGUCAGCGGCUAAGCGAAAGCGUUAAGUGUUCCACCUGGGGAGUACGCCCGCAAGGGUGAAACUCGAAAGGAAUUGACGGCUGAGACGAGACGACGGACGACACGAGGGAGGAGG
RNAcentral lists this ribosomal RNA (614 nucleotides) under uncultured bacterium. Its description in RNAcentral is "bacterial SSU rRNA". It matches the Rfam family "Bacterial small subunit ribosomal RNA", at positions 338 to 951 of the family's 1533-position model. The record is from RNAcentral.